RNAcentral lists this ribosomal RNA (1462 nucleotides) under uncultured Bordetella sp. RNAcentral's name for it is "partial 16S-23S ribosomal RNA intergenic spacer". It matches the Rfam family "Bacterial small subunit ribosomal RNA". The record is from RNAcentral. Lineage: Bacteria; Pseudomonadati; Pseudomonadota; Betaproteobacteria; Burkholderiales; Alcaligenaceae.
GAUCAUGGCUCGAAUUGAACGCUGGCGGGAUGCUUUACACAUGCAAGUCGAACGGCAACUGGACUUCGGGUCUGGGCGAGUGGCGAACGGGUGAUUAAUGUAUCGGAGGCAGUGCUAGUAGCGGGGGAUAACUACGCGAGCGUAGCUAAUACCGCAUACGCCGCGAGGGGGAAAGCGGGGGACCUUCGGGCCUCGCACUGGCCGACGGCCGAUAUCGGAUUAGCUAGUUGGUGGGGUAACGGCUCACCAAGGCGACGAUCCGUAGCUGGUUUGAGAGGACGACCAGCCACACUGGGACUGAGACACGGCCCAGACUCCUGCAAGGAGGCGAGUGGGGAACUUUGGACAAUGGAAACCUGAUCCAGCCAUCCCGCGUGUGCGAUGAAGGCCUUCCGGGUUAUGCAGCACUUUUGGCAGGAAAGAAACAGCACGGGAUAAUACCCCGUGCAACUGACGGUACCUGCAGAAUAAGCACCCAAUAACUACGUGCCAGCAGCCGCGGUAAUACGUAAGGGUGCAAGCGUUAAUCGGAAUUACUGGGCGUAAAGCGUGCGCAGGCAGUUGGAAAAGAAGAAUGUGAAAUCCAGAGCUUAACUUUGGAACUGCAUUUUUAACUACCGAGCUAGAGUGUGUCAGAGGAGGUGGAAUUCCGCAUGUAGCAGUGAAAUGCGUAGAUGUGGAGGGAACACCGAUGGCGAAGGCAGCCUCCUGGGAUAACACUGACGCUCAUGCACGAAAGCGACAGGGAGCGACAGGAUUAGAUACCCUGGUAGUCCACGCCCUAAACGAUGUCAACUAGCUGUUGGGGCCUUCGGGCCUUGGUAGCGCAGCUAACGCGUGAAGUUGACCGCCUGGGAAGUACGGUCGCAAGAUUAAAACUCAAAGGAAUUGACGGGGACCCACAAGCGGUGGAUGAUGUGGAUUAAUUCGAUGCAACGCGAAAACCUUACCUACCCUUGACAUGUCUGGAAUCCCGAAGAGAUUUGGGAGUGCUCGCAAGAGAACCGGAACACAGGUGCUGCAUGGCUGUCGUCAGCUCGUGUCGUGAGAUGUUGGGUUAAGUCCCGCAACAGCAGCCUUGUCAUUGGAUUUGCUACGAAAGGGCACUCCUAAUGAGACUGCCGGUGACAAACCGGAGGAAGGUGGGGAUGACGUCAAGUCCUCAUGGCCCUUAUGGGUAGGGCUUCACACGUCAUACAAUGGUCGGGACAAGAGGUCGCCAACCCGCGAGGAGGAGCCAAUCCCAGAAACCCGAUCGUAGUCCGGAUGUGAUCUGCAACUCGACUGCGUGAAGUCGGAAUCGCUAGUAGUCGCGGAUCAGCAUGUCGCGGUGAAUACGUUCCCGGGUCUUGUACACCGCCCGUCACACCAUGGGGUGGGUUUUGCAAGUAGUUAGCCUAACCGUAAGGAGGGCGAUUACCACGGUAGGAUUCAUGACUGGGGUGAAGUCGUAACAAGGUAG